AUUUAAUUUUUAUUACAAGGAAUUGGUUCACAUGACUGGAGGCUGAGAAAUCCCAAUGUCAACAGUCAACAAGCUAGAGACUCAGGAGAGCUGACGGUGUAAAUUCCAGUCUGAGUCCAAGUCUGAAAGCAGGAGAGGACCAGUGUCCCAGCUUAAAGGCCAUCAGGCAGGAGGAAUUCCUUCUUACUCAGGAGAAUCAGCCUUAUUGUUCUAUUUAGUCCUUCAAAGGAUUGGAUGAGGCCUGCCCGCAUUAGGGAGGGCAAUCUGCUUUAUUCUACCAUUUAAAAUGUUAAUCUCAUCCAGAAAAACCCUCACAGAAACACCCAGAAUAACGUUUGACCAAAUAUCUGGGCACUUGUGGGCAGACCGAGGCAGAAUAGUGGGUGCUUGUGUGCUGAUCUAGAACCCAGGAAUGAGUCCUGCUCCAUCACUUAUAGAUCGAAAUCCUGGAAGUUACUGAACUUGUCCGUGUCUCGGUUUAUUCAUUAUGAAUGUGUGGUUGGCAAGAGAUGGGGGUGAGAAUUUCUUGAAUUAAUACUAAGAAGGAUUGGGUUUUAAGUAUUUCACAUAGCUAUAAUUAUUAAAUUAACAUCAAAACAGUCACAUAAAUAUUUUCAUAUGCUCUUUACACAGGAUGUGGUACAACUGGCCCCACAUUUGAGCUUUCCUGUUUACAGCUGAGGCUCUGACCUCUGUCCCUGAGGCUUCACUCCAGUCACUUGAUCCUGUGAAGUGUCACACAUUUCUAGACACAUCUCUAGUUGUUUUACAAGCAGCUAACCUUGUUCGUUAUGGAUGGGUUUUAUGUGCUUAACUCUUAUAGGGUGAUUCUCUUUCUUUAGGUCUUAGGGGUUGCGCCAUUGUUCCUAUGUGCAAAGUCAGAACUGUAUGAGCAGCAUAAACCAGAUGUCAUAGCAAUUCGAGAGAGGGAAAGUCAUUGCUGGCUAGAAUGACCAGGGUGACCUUUCUGUAGAAGCCCAGUAGCGUAAUCAGAGAUGAUCUGACCUGGAACUGGCUGUAAGAGGAAUGCCCAGGGGAUGUUUUAUUGAAUCUGCUUUAGCCAAAAGACUCUAAGAAAGUUUAGCCUGGAGUUCCAUAGCAAUGAAAACUCUUUUCAGAGUUAAUCAUUUUUAUCUAUCAUCCUCUUAAUUCUGUAGAGUGUAACUCGUUCCCAGGGUACACUUUUUCUUGGCCCACAAGCAUCUAUUUCCUGUCUACCAUGAAAAGGACACUUAAGUGCUAGUUUCUGCUGCUAAGUGCUUCAGUUAAAAAAUGAAAAACCUCUUUUUUUAAGACUUUCUAAAAAUUUAUCUUCUCUAAAAUCAUGGGGCCUGGUUCUUCAACUUUAUAGAAGAACCUAGGUCUUUGAGGAUCACGUACAUUAGCAUAUGAAAAAAUAUGACAUACAAGUGUUGCUGUAAACAAACUAACAUUGUUAAAACUUUAAAACACACUACCAAUUUAUUCUGGUUAAAUAACUUUAAUUUAAAAUUAAUUAACUGAAUGGAUUUCAAAAAGAAGAAGGAAAGUUAAGGCACAAAAUUCAGUCUUUCAAGCCUGGGAUAUACCACUUCGUAAGUUUUAUCAGCCUCCUUCAGUAUCACUUUAUUUCCUUAUGAAAUCUGGAUACGGUAUAUACUUCACAAUGUAUGGGGUAGUUAUAAGGAAUAAAAAAUACAGUAUAGAAAGGACACACCUAAUAGUGGGAAACAGAGUAAGUGCAUUUAAAAGUUUCACCUAUUUGCAAAACUCUUUAUGCGGUAGUUAUAAGGUCUAGUAUUAUACUAUAUAUGUAAAAAAGUUAUGGAAAAUUACUAUAGCUUUGGAUAAUUUACUAUCUAAGUGAAAUAGUCAAGAGAUGCCAGAAUUCAGUUUUAUGUCGGUAUUCUCAAGGGAGUAUGUAAUCGAGACAUACUGAUUAUUUUGCAAAAUUAAGAUGAUAAACUGAGUGAGAAAAUUUCUCAGGUUCCUCAAAUCUCGAAAAUUCAGAGCAUUAUUCACACACCUGGGUUGUAUUAACAGUUUCAAACAUUUGACCUUAACACAGCUUUGUCUGCAUUUUGAGAAAUGACCACUAGAGGGCAGGAGAACCAAACUAUGAAGUCUACAUGUGGUUCACCAAGACUGAAGUACUGUAUUAGAAGGAGUAUUCUCAACCAGUAGAUGAGCAGUGGCACCAGUGCUCAAGGUCACUCAGCUGAGUGACCAAGCCUGCCCCAUCUGAGGUUCUGAGAAGUCACGACAUAAGCUUACUUGUCACAGAGCUGUGAUGUGGCCCCAGGUGAGUCUGACCCCAAAGGCUGUGCUGUGCACAGGUGCCCGAGGAGGUGGCCCCUGAGCCCAGCCGUGGAGGCUGAGGAUGAAGCAGCGUGGCCCACCUGCUGGAUGCAGAACAGCGAGAAGCUGUGGUUGCAGAGCCCAGAGACGGUGCUUGUGACUGUGACAGUCACGGGCGUGGUGGACGCUGAAGAGGAGGAGACGCUGCUGUAGGCCAAACUGAUGCUGUAGAUCUGGGGGAACCGCGAGGAGGUGGCUGCUCAGAACAGUGGAGGAUGGCAGGGUCAGCAGAGGCCCUGGACUCUGCAGGGCACCCCGUGCCAGGGAGCAGAUUUGGGGGCUUCUAGAAACUGGGGCUUCUUGGCUCAUUUUGUGGGUGCAGAUUGGGAAGGAAAGGGCUGUGGAAGUGCUGCCAAGGAGAAGGGGCGGGCACUGAGCUGCCUUUCUUGGCCGUCAGAGGACUCCAGGACAAAGCUCGUGGUGACCUCCUCCACUCCAGAGCUGGCGGAGCCGACUGAGUGCACGCUGAACACAUCAGCGACAUGCCUGCUGCUGAGGUGGCGGACACACCUGAGUGUGAGGACCAGGAGUGGAAGCUGCCGCCAGUCCUGGGCUCCAUAUUGGUGCCCUUGUGGCUGGGUGGCGAGACGUGCCCGUGGGCACUGGUGGCUGUGACCAGCACUCUGGAAGGUGUGAGAGACGUGUGCAGAGGGCAUUGCCCUGAGGUGGGCAGGAUGCUAUGCCAGUGCUCCUUGGCAAGUGUCAGCUAGUCUUCUGGUUCCCAAAGAGCAGAAGACACCUAAGGCCGUGAGUGGACAAAGGGAGGCCAGGCCCACCUGUGGAAGGGCAGGCAUCAUGGCUGGCAGCAGGAGAGUUGCCGAGUAAAUCUGGACUCUGGAGGUGGCCUGGGACACUGAAGUCUGUAAGUGCUUAGCUGCCUGACUAGCCAGACACUGAGGGUUGCAGCCUUGUGCUGGCCAGCGGUAGGGACCAAGUAGUAAGUGUCCUUGUCUAUCUCGAGUCCCGUCUGCUUCAUGUGAGGGAAGGUUGAGCUGGCUCCAUGCCUGACCUUCGCCCUUUUGGUGCAAGUCUGCUUCUUCAGGACAUAGUCACAGUGGGCGGUGGGGUUCAUGGCAUAGCACAGGUUGGCUUUGUUAGGAGUCUGCAGCUCUGGUGGGAGGGAGACAGAGGAAGGGUCACCUGUGCUCAGGAGAGGGCUGCAGGCCAGGGAGAAGGAUAUGCAUAGCAACAGAAAGAAGAUUAGUGGUGGUCAGGGGUGAGGGGUAUGUGGAUUGGGACCCUUCCUGGUGCCAGUGUUUCCCACUCUGCACCCACAGAAAGAGCCAAGUAUCCCUGGCUCCUGAACAGAGCUUCUGGAAUCCCCCAGAGCCAGAAGCAGGUCUAGGGUGCCUGGCAGAGUCCAGGCAUCUACUUUAAUGUGUACAGGAUUUCUGUUUGGCGUGAUAAAAACAUUCUAUAAAUAGACAGUGGUGAUGGUUGCACAGCAUAUUGAAUUUACUUAAUGCCACUGAAUUGAAAAAUUUAAAAUGAAUAAAAGAUAAAUUUUCACUGUGUGUAAAUUUUAAAACAUAAGCUCUUAUAAACCAUGAAGUAUAUGAAAUAGAAAAGGAAAAUUUGAAACAAAAGUUGUCAUCACAAGGGAGGGAAGGCCAGCUCCAGCACUGGAGCCAGCGCUACGGCUGAUGCUAGAGGU
Molecule: long non-coding RNA, 3991 nt
Organism: Diceros bicornis minor
Lineage: Eukaryota; Metazoa; Chordata; Mammalia; Perissodactyla; Rhinocerotidae
Exons: 3
Source: RefSeq, a predicted model, not a curated record